This 270-nucleotide unclassified non-coding RNA is filed under the name Hevea brasiliensis (rubber tree). Lineage: Eukaryota; Viridiplantae; Streptophyta; Magnoliopsida; Malpighiales; Euphorbiaceae. The record is from RNAcentral.
AAAAAAAAGAAAAAAAAAAAAAAACUCCUAUCUCUAAAACCCAUCACUUAGAGGCGAUCAAUUUCUGGGUUUCAAUUUCAUAAUAGAGAAUAAUAUAUUAGAAUUGACCGACUACCCGAUUCUUCAAUACAAAGAUUGGUCUUGAAGGUGUUAAAAUUUUAGAGAGAAUCAGUUAGAUUUUGAGAAGAGAUCAACAAUUUUUGAAUAAAAACUAGCUGAGUUUCAAGAUUCUUCAACAAAAUCAUUAUUUUUCAAAAGAAAAAAAAAAAA